CCUAAUACAUGCAAGUCGAGCGAAUGGAUUAAGAGCUUGCUCUUAUGAAGUUAGCGGCGGACGGGUGAGUAACACGUGGGUAACCUGCCCAUAAGACUGGGAUAACUCCGGGAAACCGGGGCUAAUACCGGAUAAUAUUUUGAACCGCAUGGUUCGAAAUUGAAAGGCGGCUUCGGCUGUCACUUAUGGAUGGACCCGCGUCGCAUUAGCUAGUUGGUGAGGUAACGGCUCACCAAGGCAACGAUGCGUAGCCGACCUGAGAGGGUGAUCGGCCACACUGGGACUGAGACACGGCCCAGACUCCUACGGGAGGCAGCAGUAGGGAAUCUUCCGCAAUGGACGAAAGUCUGACGGAGCAACGCCGCGUGAGUGAUGAAGGCUUUCGGGUCGUAAAACUCUGUUGUUAGGGAAGAACAAGUGCUAGUUGAAUAAGCUGGCACCUUGACGGUACCUAACCAGAAAGCCACGGCUAACUACGUGCCAGCAGCCGCGGUAAUACGUAGGUGGCAAGCGUUAUCCGGAAUUAUUGGGCGUAAAGCGCGCGCAGGUGGUUUCUUAAGUCUGAUGUGAAAGCCCACGGCUCAACCCGUGGAGGGUCAUUGGAAACUGGGAGACUUGAGUGCAGAAGAGGAAAGUGGAAUUUCCAUGUGUAGCG
RNAcentral lists this ribosomal RNA (655 nucleotides) under Bacillus sp. AT-BI-42. RNAcentral's name for it is "bacterial SSU rRNA". It matches the Rfam family "Bacterial small subunit ribosomal RNA", at positions 47 to 680 of the family's 1533-position model. Lineage: Bacteria; Bacillati; Bacillota; Bacilli; Caryophanales; Bacillaceae. The record is from RNAcentral.